AAUAUAGCGCAGCCUGGUAGCGCGCACCCUUGGGGUGGGUGAGGUCGUGGGUUCGAAUCCCGCUAUU
RNAcentral lists this transfer RNA (67 nucleotides) under Tumebacillus algifaecis. It matches the Rfam family "tRNA". From Rfam's summary of the family: Transfer RNA (tRNA) molecules are approximately 80 nucleotides in length. Their secondary structure includes four short double-helical elements and three loops (D, anti-codon, and T loops). Further hydrogen bonds mediate the characteristic L-shaped molecular structure. tRNAs have two regions of fundamental functional importance: the anti-codon, which is responsible for specific mRNA codon recognition, and the 3' end, to which the tRNAs corresponding amino acid is attached (by aminoacyl-tRNA synthetases). tRNAs cope with the degeneracy of the genetic code in two manners: having more than one tRNA (with a specific anti-codon) for a particular amino acid; and 'wobble' base-pairing, i.e. permitting non-standard base-pairing at the 3rd anti-codon position. The record is from Rfam by way of RNAcentral. Lineage: Bacteria; Bacillati; Bacillota; Bacilli; Caryophanales; Alicyclobacillaceae.